Long non-coding RNA from Ziziphus jujuba (common jujube), 698 nucleotides. RefSeq lists it as uncharacterized. The record is from RefSeq and is a predicted model, not a curated record. Lineage: Eukaryota; Viridiplantae; Streptophyta; Magnoliopsida; Rosales; Rhamnaceae. The transcript is spliced from 2 exons.
GCUCCAAAGCUUAAUUUAUAGCUAUAUAGCUUGAGGGUAAUGAUGAAUCAGAUACAGAUAUACACCAUCUUGGUGAUAAGUUUUUGUGUAAGUUAAGAAAUUAACAAAAGUCAAAGGAUUUCCAGAAAGUCAAAAAUGGCUACCCUAGAAGCUAGCUAUAUUGAAAUCGAUCCACCCUAUAAAUACUCAUCUUAAUCUCCAUUAAAACAUGCAACAUUACAAAACAUAUACAACAAAACUUCAGGAGAGAGAUCCAGAGUAAUUCAAGAGAAGCCUAACAGAGCAUGGCAUCAGAAUGCGAAGGUAAGGAUACAUGGCCUGAGCUGCUGGGAAAGCAGGGGAAGUUUGCUGAGGAGGUGAUUGAGAAGGAGAAUUCUCAUGUUGAUGCUCAGAUUAUAUUGGAAGGGACAAUUGUGACUCAGGAAUUCCGAUGUGACAGGGUUCGAGUUUGGGUUGACAACUAUGGCACUGUCACUAGGGUCCCCCGAAUUGGUUAAUUAAGGCUGGCUAUAUAUAUAUAUAUAUAUAUAUAGCUAUAGUAAUAAACUAAUUUAUUGAUAAAAUGAAAUAAAGGAGAAGAACCCUUUUCUCUCCAUUGCAUUAAUAUUGUUGUAUUCAACAUGGAAAAUAUAUCAUAUCUUCCCUUGUACUGUAAUUGGAUAUUUUAUACAUAAAAAGUUAACUUUAAUUAAUUUGCA